Molecule: ribosomal RNA, 428 nt
Filed under: Cryptosporidium ryanae
Lineage: Eukaryota; Apicomplexa; Conoidasida; Eucoccidiorida; Cryptosporidiidae
Description: SSU rRNA
Rfam family: Eukaryotic small subunit ribosomal RNA
Source: RNAcentral
UUAAGCUCGUAGUUGGAUUUCUGUUAAUUUUUAUAUACAAUACUACGGUAUUUAUAUAAUAUUAACAUAAUUCAUAUUACUUUUUAGUAUAUGAAACUUUACUUUGAGAAAAUUAGAGUGCUUAAAGCAGGCUAUUGCCUUGAAUACUCCAGCAUGGAAUAAUAUUAAGGAUUUUUAUUCUUCUUAUUGGUUCUAGAAUAAAAAUAAUGAUUAAUAGGGACAGUUGGGGGCAUUUGUAUUUAACAGUCAGAGGUGAAAUUCUUAGAUUUGUUAAAGACAAACUACUGCGAAAGCAUUUGCCAAGGAUGUUUUCAUUAAUCAAGAACGAAAGUUAGGGGAUCGAAGACGAUCAGAUACCGUCGUAGUCUUAACCAUAAACUAUGCCAACUAGAGAUUGGAGGUUGUUCCUUACUCCUUCAGCACCUUAA